AUACAGAGGGUGCGAGCGUUAAUCGGAAUUACUGGGCGUAAAGCGCGCGUAGGCGGCUUAUUAAGUCAGAUGAGAAAUCCCCGGGCUCAACCUGGGAACUGCAUCUGAUACUGGUAAGCUAGAGUUUUGGAGAGGGAAGUAGAAUUUCAGGUGUAGCGGUGAAAUGCAUAGAGAUAUGAAGGAAUACCAGUGGCGAAGGCGACUUCCUGGCCAAAAACUGACGCUGAGGUGCGAAAGCGUGGGUAGCAAACGGGAUUAGAAACCCUGGUAGUCC
This 274-nucleotide ribosomal RNA is filed under the name uncultured bacterium. Its description in RNAcentral is "partial 16S ribosomal RNA". It matches the Rfam family "Bacterial small subunit ribosomal RNA", at positions 523 to 796 of the family's 1533-position model. The record is from RNAcentral.